AUACUUACCUGGCAGGACAAGUACAACGGUGGUUACAAAGAUGAUUUCCCCAGGGCGAGGCUUAUCCAUUGCACUGCAGAUGUGCUGCCCCCUGCUAUUUCCCCAAAUGUGGUUACAAUCACAGUUCUUC
This 130-nucleotide small nuclear RNA is filed under the name Chinchilla lanigera (long-tailed chinchilla). RNAcentral describes it as "U1 spliceosomal RNA (ENSCLAG00000020006.1)". The record is from RNAcentral. Lineage: Eukaryota; Metazoa; Chordata; Mammalia; Rodentia; Chinchillidae.